GAUGAACGCUGGCGGCGUGCCUAAUACAUGCAAGUCGAGCGAACAGACGAGGAGCUUGCUCCUCUGACGUUAGCGGCGGACGGGUGAGUAACACGUGGAUAACCUACCUAUAAGACUGGGAUAACUUCGGGAAACCGGAGCUAAUACCGGAUAAUAUAUUGAACCGCAUGGUUCAAUAGUGAAAGACGGUUUUGCUGUCACUUAUAGAUGGAUCCGCGCCGCAUUAGCUAGUUGGUAAGGUAACGGCUUACCAAGGCGACGAUGCGUAGCCGACCUGAGAGGGUGAUCGGCCACACUGGAACUGAGACACGGUCCAGACUCCUACGGGAGGCAGCAGUAGGGAAUCUUCCGCAAUGGGCGAAAGCCUGACGGAGCAACGCCGCGUGAGUGAUGAAGGUCUUCGGAUCGUAAAACUCUGUUAUUAGGGAAGAACAAAUGUGUAAGUAACUAUGCACGUCUUGACGGUACCUAAUCUGAAAGCCGCGGCUAACUACGUG
This 497-nucleotide ribosomal RNA is filed under the name uncultured bacterium. Its description in RNAcentral is "partial 16S ribosomal RNA". It matches the Rfam family "Bacterial small subunit ribosomal RNA", at positions 28 to 507 of the family's 1533-position model. The record is from RNAcentral.